This is an RNA transcript of Andrographis paniculata, 2134 nucleotides long. RefSeq lists it as uncharacterized. The record is from RefSeq and is a predicted model, not a curated record. The transcript has 14 exons. Lineage: Eukaryota; Viridiplantae; Streptophyta; Magnoliopsida; Lamiales; Acanthaceae.
GGCACUGUAUCUCCUUCCAUAUUUGGAACGGCGGCAUAAGUCGCGGAAUCCCCCGUCUCCGCCGCCUACGACUCCUUGCCUGGCGAGCUUGAAUUUUUCUGACGCUAAAGAUGUUGAAUGCGAAGAGCUUGAAUAAGGCAGUAGUUCCUAAAUCCCUCAUCCCUCACCCUUCUCCGGCCAGCGUUCAGUCUACCCGUCUCGCCGUCACUGUAGAUGGGGUCGCCUCAAGUUGCUGGGUUUACAUUGCUUCGGGUCCCAACAUAUACAAACUCCGAAUUUCAAUGGAGGAUUCAUUUGUUGGUCAAGGAAAAGAGAGCCUUCUAAUCCCUGAGCAAACCCAAGUCUUGGAUUCGUCAAUGGUUAACCGCUGCCCUCACCGUUCAGAAAUUCAAAGUAUUGUGCUAGCUGAAACUCAAAGGAUGGAUUGCUCAGUCUUGGGGAGCGUGGACUCUUAUGGUCACCUUAUAGUUUCCAAACUCGAUAAUAGUGAUGGGUUUACAUAUUCAGUGUCUCCACGGGAUUAUAAUGUUGGAGAAGGCAGUUGGGCUGGUCUUUGCUUUAACCCCAAUCAAUUGUUCAUGGCAGCUGUGGCACGCAGCUUCAGCAAGAGCAUUGAUAUUUAUGACCAAGAUAUUCAUCUCCGCAGUUUACGCACGCUGUGGUAUCCAUCUUCGUUGAUAUUUAUGAACAAUGUUAGUGAUAGUGGAAGUUCAAUGUUAGCUGUUGCAGAAGGUUCCCAGCUAAGUAUAUGGGAUUUACGAACCAAUGAAAAUGGAGGUUGUGUUCGUAGAAUUAUGGGAUCUGUUGGAGACAUUAUGUAUGCAGUCAGUGCAUCUUCAUCUGGUAUUGUUGCUACUGGUGGGGCUGACCGAACCAUCACGUUCUAUGAUCCACGGAGAUGGUCUGCUCUAUCAAGGUGGAUGAACUGCUCAAAAUAUGAGAUAGCUGGGCUUACCUUUUCAUCUGUUGACCCCAAUUACAUUUAUGUGCAAGGAGUUGACUAUGAGGUUCUAUGUGGACAGUGGAGAGAAAGUAAGGAGGCAUUUGCAUUUAGGGGGGAUUCUAAUUGGCUUGGAUUUAGCAAGUGCUCCAACAGGGAUGUUUUAGCUGGUUGGUGUGACUCGGGUAGCAUAUUUGUUGCUGAUGUUUCGUAGAAGACUUGUUCAAAUUGGUCACAUUAGAAAAUCAGAGGUGCAUUGCCCAAAAGAACCAUCAAAGUCCAGGAUGUAGCAGAGUACCUGUUGGGAAUGGCAAUGGCCAGAAGUAGGCAAAGGUCGAAUUGUGGCAGUGUCAACCUCACCGGUGGGCAGAGGAACUGCAGGAUUGCUGGUGAUGAUUGGGAUGUUAUAAGGGGGGCCCAUAGGGCUUAUGGCUGUGGUAAUGGACAAAGCAGGCGCAGGGCUUGGAGGGGGGCCUUCUCUGGACGACGGCUGAGCUGGGGAAGAAAUGGCUAUGGCACCGGAUGCAGGAUGUGUCCCGGGCGGCGGAGGAAGGCCGCCGUCCGGCGGGUUCUGGGAAACCUUGAAGGCAAACUUGUGGCCUUGCAGACAUUCUUCGUUUGAGCCAUUUUGGAAGGAAAAAUAGAAGAAUCCAGGGCGUGAAGAGUGCCACUUGAUCAUUGAUCAGAGUCAGUACGAGGGAAAGGAAUUCGUACAAUAUAUAUGAUUCAUUUCAUGACAGGAGAUUUCAAGGAGUGACUCACAGUGUAAGAAGUAGUGGAUUUGGGGUCUCUCAAGAGAGUGGCUUGAGUGAAGUUGCAGAGAGUGAAGGCUUCCUGGCUCUUGAAAAUGUAGAGGCUGUAGUGACGAUACUUGUGCUGGAAAACUGAAUGAACACCAUCAACAGCAGCAAACAUUAUCAUUACUUGAAAUCAAAAUCCUGUUUUGUAGUGAUGGACAGUCGAGGAAUGGACUUACUGACAGAGUCUCCUAUUAGGAGGUGAGUGCUCUUUAAUUCUGAAACUCCAUCAACCACCAUUGUUGCAGACUGGGAAUAUUGAAAGAGGAGAGGAGCCACAAGAAAUAAGAGAAGUAAGUUAUGUCCCAUGUAUCUAUCUAUCUACCAAUCUGGUUGUCUUUGUUUCUGAUUCUGUCUGAGUAUUCUUGUUGGGGAAGAAGACAGUGAUUUGCACAUA